RNAcentral lists this ribosomal RNA (253 nucleotides) under uncultured bacterium. Its description in RNAcentral is "partial 16S ribosomal RNA". It matches the Rfam family "Bacterial small subunit ribosomal RNA", at positions 524 to 776 of the family's 1533-position model. The record is from RNAcentral.
UACAGAGGGGGCAAGCGUUGUUCGGAAUUACUGGGCGUAAAGGGCGCGUAGGCGGCCUUCUAAGUCGAACGUGAAAUCCCCGGGCUCAACCCGGGAACUGCGUCCGAUACUGGAAGGCUUGAAUCCGGGAGAGGGAUGCGGAAUUCCAGGUGUAGCGGUGAAAUGCGCAGAUAUCAGGAAGAACACCCGUGGCGAAGGCGGUUCUCUGGGACGGUACUGACGCUGAGACGCGAAAGCGUGGGGAGCGAACAGG